UGGGGAAUAUUGGACAAUGGGGGCAACCCUGAUCCAGCAAUUCUGUGUGCACGAAGAAGGUUUUCGGAUUGUAAAGUGCUUUCAGCAGGGAAGAAGGAAGUGACGGUACCUGCAGAAGAAGCGACGGCUAAAUACGUGCCAGCAGCCGCGGUAAUACGUAUGUCGCGAGCGUUAUCCGGAAUUAUUGGGCAUAAAGGGCAUCUAGGCGGCCUGACAAGUCAGGGGUGAAAACCUGCGGCUCAACCGCAGGCCUGCCUUUGAAACUGUGAGGCUGGAGUACCGGAGAGGUGGACGGAACUGCACGAGUAGAGGUGAAAUUCGUAGAUAUGUGCAGGAAUGCCGAUGAUGAAGAUAGUUCACUGGACGGUAACUGACGCUGAAGUGCGAAAGCCGGGGGAGC
This 400-nucleotide ribosomal RNA is filed under the name uncultured bacterium. Its description in RNAcentral is "bacterial SSU rRNA". It matches the Rfam family "Bacterial small subunit ribosomal RNA", at positions 355 to 769 of the family's 1533-position model. The record is from RNAcentral.